Molecule: ribosomal RNA, 264 nt
Filed under: uncultured Thiobacillus sp.
Lineage: Bacteria; Pseudomonadati; Pseudomonadota; Betaproteobacteria; Nitrosomonadales; Thiobacillaceae
Description: partial 16S ribosomal RNA
Rfam family: Bacterial small subunit ribosomal RNA
Source: RNAcentral
UUAGUUGCUACGCAAGGGCACUCUAAUGAGACUGCCGGUGACAAACCGGAGGAAGUGGGGAUGACGUCAAGUCCUCAUGGCCCUUAUGGGUAGGAUUCACACGUCAUACAAUGGUCGGUACAGAGGGUUGCCAAGCCGCGAGGUGGAGGCCAAUCCCAGAAAGCCGAUCGUAGUCCGGAUUGUUCUCUGCAACUCGAGAGCAUGAAGUCGGAAUCGCUAGUAAUCGCGGAUCAGCAUGUCGCGGUGAAUACGUUCCCGGGUCUU